This is a long non-coding RNA of Pleuronectes platessa (European plaice), 850 nucleotides long. RefSeq lists it as uncharacterized. Lineage: Eukaryota; Metazoa; Chordata; Actinopteri; Pleuronectiformes; Pleuronectidae. The record is from RefSeq and is a predicted model, not a curated record. The transcript has 4 exons.
UUUCUCAAUUUGUAGGUGUGUGUGGAACUCAAGAGAAUCACAACAAUCCAUUUAGAGUUAACGUUCUUCUCUGAGCUGGAUGCUCACUCUGCAGACCUAAUCCAGUUGUUUGCCAAGACAGGCAGAGUUCAAGGGGGGCGGAUCAGAAGCAUCAUGGUAGCCAUGACUGAGAUCCAGAGAAGCUGGUGAAAGAAUACCUGAGAAGCUGGUGAAAGAAUACCUGAGCGAUGAUAAAAGCAGUCUGGAGGCUAUGGCAGAGACGGUCUUUGGAGUCUUUGUCAUUCGACACAACGGUGCAGGGCCCAGUGAGAACCCAGAGGAUGUCAGAAUUCUUCUGGAGGGUGUAAAGGUGUUGCAUGAGUUGAGGUAUGUGCCUUUUGCAGUGGCAGAGUUGCUUGCGCUCGUGUAUGCUCUAAACCGUAGCUACCCCAGAGAGCUAAAAUACACCUUUGAAGCUCUGCAGAAGAUCAAGUACAUGACUGAGCUCAUCCUCACCUUAGGAAAAACACCUUGUGACUAAAAAUCAGUUAAACUCUUGUUCGAUCCUAACAUAAGUGAAGUUAAAAUACUAAAAAAAAUUGUCUUCCACAAUGUUUUAGAUUUACCACUGUUGGCUUUUAUGUCAAAUGUCCCUAACUGUGAAAUGUUUUUGUUGGCACAAAAAAAUUUAAAAUAAUUUAAGCAGUGUUUUGUUUAUAAUGUUCAAGUCUUGACAUUGAGCAGGCUCUAGAAUUCAUUGAACCUCAGUUUCUGAUGUUAUGUUCACUGUUACAUUCUAAAUAUGUUGUACUGAUGUGGAAUGUGAAAUGUUUCAAGGGAAAUGUGAGUCUAAUGCUGACCUCACACUGCA